AAUCAACGCUGGCGGCGUGCCUCAGACAUGCAAGUCGAACGAUUAAAGCUCUCUUCGGAGAGUGUAUAGAGUGGCGCACGGGUGAGUAACACGUAAGUAAUCUACCUUCGAGUGGGGAAUACCGUCCGGAAACGGACGCUAAUACCGCAUAAUGCAUUAGCAUCGCAAGAUGCCAUUGUUAAAGAUUUAUCGCUUGAAGAGGAGCUUGCGGCAGAUUAGCUAGUUGGUAAGGUAACGGCUUACCAAGGCUACGAUCUGUAACCGGUCUUAGAGGACGGUCGGUCACACUGACACUGAAUAACGGGUCAGACUCCUACGGGAGGCAGCAGUCGGGAAUUUUGGGCAAUGGGCGAAAGCCUGACCCAGCAACGCCGCGUGAAGGAUGAAGUAUUUCGGUAUGUAAACUUCGAAAGAAUGGGAAGAAUCAAUGACGGUACCAUUUAUAAGGUCCGG
This 453-nucleotide ribosomal RNA is filed under the name uncultured bacterium. RNAcentral's name for it is "bacterial SSU rRNA". It matches the Rfam family "Bacterial small subunit ribosomal RNA", at positions 32 to 496 of the family's 1533-position model. The record is from RNAcentral.